RNAcentral lists this ribosomal RNA (206 nucleotides) under uncultured bacterium. RNAcentral describes it as "partial 16S ribosomal RNA". It matches the Rfam family "Bacterial small subunit ribosomal RNA", at positions 1287 to 1500 of the family's 1533-position model. The record is from RNAcentral.
CUCAGUUCGGACUGGAGUCUGCAACCCGACUCCACGAAGCUGGAUUCGCUAGUAAUCGCGCAUCAGCCACGGCGCGGUGAAUACGUUCCCGGGCCUUGUACACACCGCCCGUCAAGCCAUGGGAGCCGGGGGUACCUGAAGUGCGUAACCGCGAGGAGCGCCCUAGGGUAAAACUGGUGACUGGGGCUAAGUCGUAACAAGGUACC